UACGGAGGGUGCAAGCGUUAAUCGGAAUUACUGGGCGUAAAGCGCACGUAGGUGGCUGAAUAAGUCGGAUGUGAAAGCCCUGGGCUCAACCUGGGAAUUGCAUUCGAUACUGUUCGGCUAGAGUACGGUAGAGGGAGGUAGAAUUCCUAGUGUAGCGGUGAAAUGCGUAGAUAUUAGGAGGAAUACCGGUGGCGAAGGCGGCCUCCUGGGCUGAUACUGACACUGAGGUGCGAAAGCGUGGGGAGCAAACAGG
Molecule: ribosomal RNA, 253 nt
Filed under: uncultured bacterium
Lineage: Bacteria
Description: partial 16S ribosomal RNA
Rfam family: Bacterial small subunit ribosomal RNA
Source: RNAcentral